GGGCCCGCACAAGCGGUGGAGCAUGUGGUUUAAUUCGAUGAUACGCGAGGAACCUUACCAGGGCUUAAAUGUAACGGGACAGAUCUAGAGAUAGAUCCUUCUUCGGACUCAUUACAAGGUGCUGCAUGGUUGUCGUCAGCUCGUGCCGUGAGGUGUCAGGUUAAGUCCUAUAACGAGCGCAACCCCCAUCGUUAGUUGCCAACGAGUAAUGUCGGGAACUCUAACGAAACUGCCGGUGCAAACCGUGAGGAAGGUGGGGAUGACGUCAAAUCAUCACGGCCCUUACGUCCUGGCUACACACGUGCUACAAUGGUCGGUACAGAGAGUUGCCAACCCGCGAGGGU
This 344-nucleotide ribosomal RNA is filed under the name uncultured bacterium. RNAcentral describes it as "bacterial SSU rRNA". It matches the Rfam family "Bacterial small subunit ribosomal RNA", at positions 917 to 1264 of the family's 1533-position model. The record is from RNAcentral.